Molecule: long non-coding RNA, 2499 nt
Filed under: Mus pahari (shrew mouse)
Lineage: Eukaryota; Metazoa; Chordata; Mammalia; Rodentia; Muridae
Description: lncRNA (MGP_PahariEiJ_G0005414.1)
Source: RNAcentral
GGAAAAAAAAAACACAGAGCUAAGGUGCUAGAGGAACCAUCGUCUGCGCGCUGCAGAAGCCAGGCGCACUCUAUAGCCAGAGGACUGAACUAGAGAAGGUCUGGGCAUUGCUGGCCAGUGCAGGACUGAAUGAAUGCCCGGCUUGUUAAGCAAACACCUUGAACUUAAUUAGCAUCGUGGAUCUCAAGCGCUGGAAGGACAGUGAACUGCAAGCUACCCCGACCUCUCUCUCCUCCCACCUGCGACCCAGGGAAGAGAGCUCAGAGCCCUCAGCUCCAGGCACCCCCACCCCCUUUCUUGACACCGAAUUCUAGAAGCUGCGGGAAGUGGUGUCCCAGUGCAGCCGGAUCAAGUAAACCCACCGGAGCAUCCAUGCCACAGUGGAGCGGUGUGGGCUGCUUUCCCGGUGAGGGGAUGAAGAGUUCCUUCCCUUGAGUCAGAUGUCGUCAAGUCAUCUGCUGGGCGAAUUCCGUGCCCUACAAGGGCCACCCUUAUCUGACAAACCCCUAUAGCCUACUGGGGAUUUAGGGGAAAGAGAUAGAGGCAGAAUCCUUUGGUAGUAGGGAGUUCCAGGUUCAGGGAAAGGGAGCGGAAGACUGCCCCGAACGUAGGCAUCCAGUGUAAGGAGAGGCAUAGUUGCUCUAAGGAUGACUUUAAACCGCGCAGAGGCUCAGCAUAUGGUUUCCAGGUUUGGCGGCACAACACAGAAGACUCUGAGCUGAAGGGGCCUCCAGACACGGAAACCAAAUAAUCCCGAUUUAAAGAGAUCUGAGUAGCAGGAGGCUGGAUUUUUGGUUAAACUACAAUUAAGAGAAGAUAAUUAAGCCCGGAGUCGUGCAGCUUAUUAAUAUUUAUAGCCCGGAGUGAGAGGUCCUUCGCCACCCAGGAGAGGAACCGGAGUCUCCCAGGCCAGAGGCUUCGCAAUGACUGAGAAUGAGAAAGAACGACGAGCAAAAUGGGGUGAAUCGUCUCUGCGCUUCUCCCUUAAUUACCGGAGCAGGAAAGUCAGUCGGGAGAGAAGGUGGACGAAUGACUCUGUCUCGGGGGGGGGGGGGGGGCUACGAAGAGAGAUGGCUAUUUCCAGUCCGGACCCCAUCUCUUCCUUCAGGACCCCAACGGUGCCUUCAAGUGUCCCUGGCUCCCGGGAUUGAGGGCUAGUAAAGGAAAGGAUUUUGUAAGAUUCCCCAGCCUUAACGUCACGCGUCAGGAGACACGGUGAUUAAGUGCUGUCCUGGCUGAGGGAUGGACCUGCAAGACCAUCCUCUGGCCUCGAACUUGCUCAAGUACGGUUUGUGGGAUUCAGGGAGGCAGAUCCUGCCCGCGCCCCCACGGGCCCGCAGGAUCCCGGAGGGCCGCAGCGCGUCCGGCCUUUGAUUUCCAUACCGCUGCGGUGGCAGGCCGCGAAGGGGACGGAGGGGCUUCACCGGUACUCCGAUCUUCCCUGCGGUCUGCUGCCCGCGAGCCACCGUGCCACCCACCACUGAGGACGAAGUAGGGAGCUUCAGCAAUUUGCCCUGAACGUAAUUUCUGCUGCUGUUGAACCCAGAUGGAUGGAGGUGGGUGGAGGAGGGGCGAAUGCCCUGGGCCUUUGCUCCCCACCGCCCUCGCCUCCCCUUGCUAGCCUCCAGCGGCCUCCGCAGUAGCAGCCUCGGUGCCUGGUCCAGAUCGAUUCUCCGUAAUAAACGCGGGGUUCCGCGGGGGGCGCCACUGCGGUUCCCAUGGCAACCCUUUGCUUCACUGCAGUCCAGGACUCCUGGUCACGCGUGCUUAAAUGAGGACGGAACUGUUUGCAGUGACCGCGGUAGCGGCCAGCCUCUUCCUACUCAUGCUUUUCAUCUCGGUCUACGUUGGCUCUAGUCCUGACCCACAACCUCUGUCCCAAAACUGUUAAUUGAAGAAGAAAGGGGGUGGCGAUUUGUCCUUGUCACGAGGCGUGGUCCCAAUGCAUCUCUACCCAGGCUAGAUGUGGAGACGCCAGAGAUUCUUGCAGAGAUGUGCCCAGCUCCUCCAAACAGCUGCAAGGGCUGAUUAGCAUUGACGCCAGCGAAGGAUGAGGAAGGAUUCCUGUGUGUCCUUAUGUGUCAAGGGGAACAUCAAUGGAUUUAAUUGUGAUGACUGUGGGUUAUAGCAUAAAGGCUUGCUUAACAAAGAGAUGUCGAUGGCAUUAUAAGUGAGUUAUUUUUACACAUCUGUAUACACACACCAGAAAAGGAAAUGUUUUGGUAGGCACGAGUGAAUUUUCUCUCUAUAAAAACGUGCAGUUCACGGAUGGUGGAUUUUUAAGCACGUGUUGGUGAUGUUAAUUUACAGUAAUGAUUAUUCUGUUCUGAAAAUGAAACCAUACCAUCUCUUUUUUACCAUACCACACCUUUUAACACUAGCCUGGAUACAUGAUAGGGUAGCUCUAGCGACUGUCUCAGCUGUUGUAUCAAAGGAGAGUGAUCCUGGUAGAGGAGUAUUUAUUCUGCAACAACGCCAAAUAAAAUUUGCAAACAAAAA